ACGGAAGGCAGCAGUGUGGAAUAUUGGGCAAUGGGCGAAAGCCUGACCCAGCAACGCCGCGUGAAGGAAGAAGGCCUUCGGGUUGUAAACUUCUUUUAUCAGGACGAAGGAAGUGACGGUACCUGAUGAAUAAGCCACGGCUAACUACGUGCCCGCAGCCGCGGUAAUACGUAGGUGGCAAGCGUUAUCCGGAUUUACUGGGUGUAAAGGGCGCGUAGGCGGGGAUGCAAGUCAGAUGUGAAAUCCAUGGGCUUAACCCAUGAACUGCAUUUGACACUAUAUCUCUUGAGUGUCGGAGAGGUAGACGGAAUUCCUAGUGUAGCGGUGAAAUGCGUAGAUAUUAGGAGGAACACCAGUGGCGAAGGCGCUCUACUGGACGAUAACUGACGCUGAGGCGCGAAAGCGUGGGGAGCAAACAGGAUUACAUACCCUGGUA
This 436-nucleotide ribosomal RNA is filed under the name uncultured Oscillospiraceae bacterium. Its description in RNAcentral is "partial 16S ribosomal RNA". It matches the Rfam family "Bacterial small subunit ribosomal RNA", at positions 341 to 792 of the family's 1533-position model. The record is from RNAcentral. Lineage: Bacteria; Bacillati; Bacillota; Clostridia; Eubacteriales; Oscillospiraceae.